RNAcentral lists this ribosomal RNA (465 nucleotides) under uncultured bacterium. RNAcentral's name for it is "bacterial SSU rRNA". It matches the Rfam family "Bacterial small subunit ribosomal RNA", at positions 339 to 796 of the family's 1533-position model. The record is from RNAcentral.
CUACGGGAGGCAGCAGGGAGGAAUAUUGGACAAUGGGGGAAACCCCGAUCCAGCCAUGCCGCGUGAGUGAAGAAGGCCUUCGGGUUGUAAAGCUCUUUCGGCCGGAACGAAAUCGCGCCCCCUAAUACGGGGUGUGGAUGACGGUACCGGAAGAAGAAGCACCGGCUAACUACGUGCCAGCAGCCGCGGUAAUACGUAGGGUGCGAGCGUUAAUCGGAAUUACUGGGCGUAAAGCGUGCGCAGGCGGCGCGCCAAGUCAGAUGUGAAAGCCCCGGGCUUAACCUGGGAAUUGCGUUUGAAACUGGCGGGCUGGAGUGUGGCAGAGGGAGGUGGAAUUCCACGUGUAGCAGUGAAAUGCGUAGAGAUGUGGAGGAACACCGAUGGCGAAGGCAGCCUCCUGGGCCAACACUGACGCUCAUGCACGAAAGCGUGGGGAGCAAACAGGAUUAGAAACCCUAGUAGUCC